CACCGGCGGCUCGAGUGGUAACCGUUAUUAUUGGGUCUAAAGGGUCUGUAGCCGGCCGGAUAAGUCUCUUGAGAAAUCUGGCAGCUUAACUGUCAGGCUUUCAGGAGAUACUGUCUGGCUCGAGGCCGGGAGAGGUGAGAGGUACUUCAGGGGUAGGGGUGAAAUCUUGUAAUCCUUGAAGGACCACCAGUGGCGAAGGCGUCUCACCAGAACGGACCUGACGGCAAGGGACGAAAGCUAGGGGCACGAACCGGAUUAGAUACCCCCGUAGUCCCUGAGCGGGCU
This 285-nucleotide ribosomal RNA is filed under the name uncultured prokaryote. Its description in RNAcentral is "partial 16S ribosomal RNA". It matches the Rfam family "Archaeal small subunit ribosomal RNA", at positions 474 to 756 of the family's 1478-position model. The record is from RNAcentral.